CCCUUAGAUGUCCGGGGCCACACGCGCGCUACACUGAAGGAAUCAGCGUGGCUUUCUCCCUGACCCGAAAGGGUUGGGAAACCCGUUGAAUCUCCUUCGUGAUAGGGAUUGGGGCUUGAAAUUGUUCCCCAUGAACGAGGAAUUCCCAGUAAGCGCGAGUCAUAAGCUCGCGUUGAUUACGUCCCUGCCCUUUGUACACACCGUCCGUCGCUACUACCGAUUGAACGGUUUAGUGAGGGCCUCGGAUUGGUCUCGGCCCGCUCUUUACCGGGCGGCGCCGUUGGUCGAGAAGACGCUCGAACUUGAUCGUUUAGAGGAAGUAAAAGUCGUAACA
This 334-nucleotide ribosomal RNA is filed under the name uncultured eukaryote. Its description in RNAcentral is "partial 18S ribosomal RNA". It matches the Rfam family "Eukaryotic small subunit ribosomal RNA", at positions 1470 to 1796 of the family's 1831-position model. The record is from RNAcentral.